This 402-nucleotide ribosomal RNA is filed under the name uncultured Sphingomonas sp. Its description in RNAcentral is "bacterial SSU rRNA". It matches the Rfam family "Bacterial small subunit ribosomal RNA", at positions 355 to 774 of the family's 1533-position model. The record is from RNAcentral. Lineage: Bacteria; Pseudomonadati; Pseudomonadota; Alphaproteobacteria; Sphingomonadales; Sphingomonadaceae.
UGGGGAAUAUUGGACAAUGGGCGAAAGCCUGAUCCAGCAAUGCCGCGUGAGUGAUGAAGGCCCUAGGGUUGUAAAGCUCUUUUACCCGGGAAGAUAAUGACUGUACCGGGAGAAUAAGCCCCGGCUAACUCCGUGCCAGCAGCCGCGGUAAUACGGAGGGGGCUAGCGUUGUUCGGAAUUACUGGGCGUAAAGCGUACGUAGGCGGCUACUCAAGUCAGAGGUGAAAGCCCGGAGCUCAACUUCGGAAUUGCCUUUGAAACUAGGUAGCUUGAACGUCGGAGAGGUGAGUGGAAUUCCGAGUGUAGAGGUGAAAUUCGUAGAUAUUCGGAAGAACACCAGUGGCGAAGGCGGCUCACUGGACGACUGUUGACGCUGAGGUACGAAAGCGUGGGGAGCAAACA